AUGAACGCUGGCGGCGUGCCUAAUACAUGCAAGUCGAGCGAACAGACGAGGAGCUUGCUCCUCUGACGCUAGCGGCGGACGGGUGAGUAACACGUGGAUAACCUACCUAUAAGACUGGGAUAACUUCGGGAAACCGGAGCUAAUACCGGAUAAUAUAUUGAACCGCAUGGUUCAAUAGUGAAAGACGGUUUUGCUGUCACUUAUAGAUGGAUCCGCGCCGCAUUAGCUAGUUGGUAAGGUAACGGCUUACCAAGGCAACGAUGCGUAGCCGACCUGAGAGGGUGAUCGGCCACACUGGAACUGAGACACGGUCCAGACUCCUACGGGAGGCAGCAGUAGGGAAUCUUCCGCAAUGGGCGAAAGCUUGACGGAGCAACGCCGCGUGAGUGAUGAAGGUCUUCGGAUCGUAAAACUCUGUUAUUAGGGAAGAACAAAUGUGUAAGUAACUAUGCACGUCUUGACGGUACCUAAUCAGAAAGCCACGGCUAACUACGUG
Molecule: ribosomal RNA, 496 nt
Filed under: uncultured bacterium
Lineage: Bacteria
Description: partial 16S ribosomal RNA
Rfam family: Bacterial small subunit ribosomal RNA
Source: RNAcentral